UGAACGCUGGCGGCGUGCCUAAUACAUGCAAGUCGAGCGAGCAGAUGAGGAGCUUGCUCCUCUGACGUUAGCGGCGGACGGGUGAGUAACACGUGGAUAACCUACCUAUAAGACUGGGAUAACUUCGGGAAACCGGAGCUAAUACCGGAUAAUAUAUUGAACCGCAUGGUUCAAUAGUGAAAGACGGUUUUGCUGUCACUUAUAGAUGGAUCCGCGCCGCAUUAGCUAGUUGGUAAGGUAACGGCUUACCAAGGCAACGAUGCGUAGCCGACCUGAGAGGGUGAUCGGCCACACUGGAACUGAGACACGGUCCAGACUCCUACGGGAGGCAGCAGUAGGGAAUCUUCCGCAAUGGGCGAAAGCCUGACGGAGCAACGCCGCGUGAGUGAUGAAGGUCUUCGGAUCGUAAAACUCUGUUAUUAGGGAAGAACAAAUGUGUAAGUAACUAUGCACGUCUUGACGGUACCUAAUCAGAAAGCCACGGCUAACUACGUG
Molecule: ribosomal RNA, 495 nt
Filed under: uncultured bacterium
Lineage: Bacteria
Description: partial 16S ribosomal RNA
Rfam family: Bacterial small subunit ribosomal RNA
Source: RNAcentral